AUGGACAUGAGGGCCCCCGCUCAGCUCCUGGGGCUCCUGCUGCUCUGGCUCCCAGGUUCCAGAUGUGACAUCCAGAUGACCCAGUCUCCAUCCUCGCAUUCUGCAUCUAUAGGAGACACAGUCAGCAUCAGGUGCAAGGCCAGUGAGAGCAUAAGUAGUUAUUUAGCCUGGUAUCAACAGAAACCAGGGAAAGCUCCUAAACUCCUAAUCUAUUAUGCAAGCAGUUUGGAAUCUGGGAUCCCACCGAGGUUCAGUGGCAGUGGAUCUGGGACAGAUUUCACUCUCACCAUCAGCAGUGUGGAGGCUGAAGAUGUUGGAACUUAUUACUGUCAGCAGUAUAAAAGUUUACCUCCCACAGUGAUACAAGCCAUGACAUAAACCACCCAGGAAAGCAGAAGUGUGAGCCUGGGCUGCACCCUCUGCUACCUCUGAUGCCUUCUGCUGCUGAGAGUUUUUCUAAGUUGCAGGCUUUCUUUGAAGGACACUGGGUACCAUAACUUUUUCUUCAUGCC
Molecule: non-coding RNA, 512 nt
Organism: Fukomys damarensis (Damara mole-rat)
Lineage: Eukaryota; Metazoa; Chordata; Mammalia; Rodentia; Bathyergidae
Source: the annotation of a RefSeq genome assembly